UACGGAGGGUGCAAGCGUUAAUCGGAAUUACUGGGCGUAAAGCGCGCGUAGGUGGUUCAGUAAGUUGGAAGUGAAAUCCCCGGGCUCAACCUGGGAACUGCUUUCAAAACUGCUGAGCUAGAGUACGGUAGAGGGUGGUGGAAUUUCCUGUGUAGCGGUGAAAUGCGUAGAUAUAGGAAGGAACACCAGUGGCGAAGGCGACCACCUGGACUGAUACUGACACUGAGGUGCGAAAGCGUGGGGAGCAAACAGG
This 253-nucleotide ribosomal RNA is filed under the name uncultured bacterium. RNAcentral describes it as "partial 16S ribosomal RNA". It matches the Rfam family "Bacterial small subunit ribosomal RNA", at positions 524 to 776 of the family's 1533-position model. The record is from RNAcentral.